Molecule: long non-coding RNA, 397 nt
Organism: Delphinapterus leucas (beluga whale)
Lineage: Eukaryota; Metazoa; Chordata; Mammalia; Artiodactyla; Monodontidae
Source: RefSeq, a predicted model, not a curated record
CCCAGGGCCGCAGUCGCGUCGGCUAGCCUGCGAGUCUCAGAGGAAAAAGGGGCUCCAGAAGUGCGUGCCCCGGGCCGCUCACCCGGCGCUGCAGUUGUGGGGAGAAGAGAAUAGAGGAGUGAAGAAGGGUGCAUUUUCCAUCUCACCUCAGUCCUCGGCUAGGAAAACCACGUAGCCCUGACCAGUGGGCUCAAGGCCCUGCUGGAAACUGGUUCUGAGUGUAUAUGUCUCAGCUUGAGAUGAGAAAAUGAGAACAAGUAACAAGCAUAUUUUUUCAACUCAGGCCAGGCCAGAGUUGUGGAGAAGAGGAAGAAGAGCAAGACAGGGGGUCUUUUCUAAAGUGCAGGUUAGGGGCUUCCCUGGUGGCGCAGUGGUUAAGAAUCUGUCUGCCAAUUCA